UACGUAGGGGGCAAGCGUUGUCCGGAUUUAUUGGGCGUAAAGAGCGUGUAGGCGGCCAUGUAGGUCCGUUGUGAAAACUCGAGGCUCAACCUCGAGACGCCGAUGGAAACCAUGUGGCUAGAGUCCGGAAGAGGAGAGUGGAAUUCCUGGUGUAGCGGUGAAAUGCGCAGAUAUCGGGAGGAACACCAAUGGCGAAGGCAGCUCGCUGGGACGUUACUGACGCUGAGACGCGAAAGCGUGGGGAGCAAACAGG
Molecule: ribosomal RNA, 253 nt
Filed under: uncultured bacterium
Lineage: Bacteria
Description: partial 16S ribosomal RNA
Rfam family: Bacterial small subunit ribosomal RNA
Source: RNAcentral